AUUGAACGCUGGCGGCAGGCCUAACACAUGCAAGUCGAGCGGAUGAAGGGAGCUUGCUCCUGGAUUCAGCGGCGGACGGGUGAGUAAUGCCUAGGAAUCUGCCUGGUAGUGGGGGAUAACGUCCGGAAACGGGCGCUAAUACCGCAUACGUCCUGAGGGAGAAAGUGGGGGAUCUUCGGACCUCACGCUAUCAGAUGAGCCUAGGUCGGAUUAGCUAGUUGGUGGGGUAAAGGCCUACCAAGGCGACGAUGCGUAACUGGUCUGAGAGGAUGAUCAGUCACACGGGAACUGAGACACGGUCCAGACUCCUACGGGAGGCAGCAGUGGGGGAUAUUGGACAAUGGGCGAAAGCCUGAUCCAGCCAUGCCGCGUGUGUGAAGAAGGUCUUCGGAUUGUAAAGCACUUUAAGUUGGGAGGAAGGGCAGUAAGUUAAUACCUUGCUGUUUUGACGUUACCAACAGAAUAAGCACCGGCUAACUUCGUG
RNAcentral lists this ribosomal RNA (484 nucleotides) under uncultured bacterium. Its description in RNAcentral is "partial 16S ribosomal RNA". It matches the Rfam family "Bacterial small subunit ribosomal RNA", at positions 30 to 507 of the family's 1533-position model. The record is from RNAcentral.